AGAGUUUGAUCCUGGCUCAGAACGAACGCUAGCGGCAGGCUUAACACAUGCAAGUCGAACGCGACCUUCGGGUCGAGUGGCGCACGGGUGAGUAACGCGUAGGAACCUGUCCUGUGGUUCGGAAUAACACCGGGAAACUGGUGCUAAUACCGGAUGUCCCCUGAGGGGGAAAGAUUUAUCGCCAUAGGAGGGGCCUGCGU
RNAcentral lists this ribosomal RNA (200 nucleotides) under uncultured bacterium. RNAcentral's name for it is "partial 16S ribosomal RNA". It matches the Rfam family "Bacterial small subunit ribosomal RNA", at positions 8 to 236 of the family's 1533-position model. The record is from RNAcentral.